CGGGAUAACCCGGAGAAAUCCGGCCUAAUACCGCAUGUGGCCGAGGGGAGGCAUCUUCUUUCGGCCAAAGGAGGCGACUCCGGAGACGGAUGGGCAUGCGUGACAUUAGCUUGUUGGCGGGGUAACGGCCCACCAAGGCGACGAUGUCUAGGGGUUCUGAGAGGAAGGUCCCCCACACUGGUACUGAGACACGGACCAGACUCCUACGGGAGGCAGCAGUGAGGAAUAUUGGUCAAUGGGCGAGAGCCUGAACCAGCCAAGUCGCGUGAAGGAUGACGGCCCUACGGGUUGUAAACUUCUUUUGUCAGGGAGCAAUUGGGUCCACGUGUGGGCUUAGCGAGAGUACCUGAAGAAAAAGCAUCGGCUAACUCCGUGCCAGCAGCCGCGGUAAUACGGAGGAUGCGAGCGUUAUCCGGAUUUAUUGGGUUUAAAGGGUGCGUAGGCGGAAUAUCAAGUCAGCGGUAAAAAUUCGGGGCUCAACCCCGUCGUGCCGUUGAAACUGAUGUUCUUGAGUGGGCGAGAAGUAUGCGGAAUGCGUGGUGUAGCGGUGAAAUGCAUAGAUACCACGCAGAACUCCGAUUGCGAAGGCAGCAUACCGGCGCCCAACUGACGCUGAAGCACGAAAGCGUGGGUAUCGAACAGGAUUAGAUACCCUGGUAGUCCACGCAGUAAACGAUGAA
This 680-nucleotide ribosomal RNA is filed under the name uncultured bacterium. RNAcentral describes it as "bacterial SSU rRNA". It matches the Rfam family "Bacterial small subunit ribosomal RNA", at positions 139 to 813 of the family's 1533-position model. The record is from RNAcentral.